CGCAGAACAAACCCCAAAGAGGGUUGAACACCUGAGGUCUCAUCAGUGCAAUUAGAAAUGACUUUUCUCAGCUGAGGGGGCAUCUAUCUGUUUCUGAGCCAGAAACUACCAUGGGCAAGUGCCGGGUCCAGGACAAACAGGGGAGGUGUCAGCUUUGUGCUUAGCACUGCCCUGGUCAGGCUUCCGCUGCUGGACCCUCACCAGGGUCCUACCAUGCUGGACUCAUGUGCUAAGCCUCAAUUGGUCUGGAUAGGGUCCAGCACUGUCUGGCUUUGGCCUCUCUGGCCCACUUCCUGGGCAGAGGCCCUAUCUGUGACCCUUUAAAGAAGUGGGACUUCCUGGGUCAGCUGCCCAUGGCUGCUUGGACCAGUGCUGAUUCCCCGUUCCCCAAGGGCAUAAGCACACCCCUUCUCAGAGCUCCACCUUGUGGGCACUGUGGUUGACUGACUGUUUACCUCUCCAGGGACACGUGACAGAGAAGCACCUAACACACAGGCUUUGCAAAGGUUUCUAACACAAUUACUCUUCACUUUAGACAGCACACGAGAGAUACAGAAUCCAGUGCCUGAGAUGCACCCAGCAAACAAAAGCCAGAAGUGAACACCUAAAAAUAACAUUUGUUUGGUCUCCCUUGGCCCUGAGCAACAGUUCCCUUGAACUGCUUUAAGUAGCAACAUCUACCAGUAUAUGACUUCUAGUCCAGAAAUAUAUCCAUGCAGUGGCUGAUCUGUCCAGUUACUGGUGCACAAUGGCUAUGAGGAUUCAACCCCAGACGUAGCUGCAUCCCAGUGGUGAGGGAAAUGAUCCU
Molecule: non-coding RNA, 808 nt
Organism: Chelonoidis abingdonii (Abingdon island giant tortoise)
Lineage: Eukaryota; Metazoa; Chordata; Testudines; Testudinidae
Source: RefSeq, a predicted model, not a curated record